This is an RNA transcript of Hibiscus syriacus, 1340 nucleotides long. RefSeq lists it as uncharacterized. The record is from RefSeq and is a predicted model, not a curated record. The transcript is spliced from 4 exons. NCBI's taxonomy places the organism in Eukaryota, Viridiplantae, Streptophyta, Magnoliopsida, Malvales, Malvaceae.
CCUUCUAACACCCAUCAAUUGCAAAUGUCUCGAUUAAAAGCUCUCCUUUCUAACCAAACCAAAUGUCUCCUCAAAACCCGGAAUCCUUCUUCCAAAAUCCCUUCUCCGUCACCAUCCUUCAUAAUUAGAAGAACCCUUAAUUCCUAUCCCCAGAAACAAACCAAAACCCCACUUUCUGCAUUGUUUCAAGCCGCUGGUGGAACUGAAGCCCAGAGAGAAGUAAAAAACAUUGGGUUGAAGAGAGAAGUUAGGAACUUGAAAGGAAACCCAAAAGAGAAAAAGAAAGAAAACCAGGGACCAGAUGGGAACAAACCCCAGAAAGUUAAGUGUUUGGUUGAGUUGCCUGGGUGUGAAAAGAAACAAGACAAGGUGAAAAAGAUGGUAAAAGUUAGGAGAGAAAGGAGGGAGGUAAGAGCUUUGAAGGAUCUUUCACAGUUAGCUGAGAGUUUCAUUAGGCAUCUGUUUGCAAAAGGGUAUUUUAACAAGGCUAGUUUUUUGGAAGACAACAAGUUAGAUUUUGGUUACUUUGGGAAUAGUUAUGGCCGGGAUUUUAUCAAGUUCGCUGCUUACGAGUUUGGUAAAGAUCACCAAGAUAUUGCAAAAUGGUUGCCAGGCAAUCACUUAAAAAACGUGGUGCUUUUCGGAUGCCCUUCCCUUGAUAAAAAUAAUGUCUUUGCUGCUAAGAGACUGCGCAAGUUCUUUAAAAUUCAAGAACACACCGUAUGCAGUCGAUGCGCGUUAAAGGAUUCAUGCGAGUAUGCGAAUAAGAGUUUAUGGGGAAUUGGUACCAAUAGUUUGCUUUUGGUUGAUGUAAUGAAAAUCAUCACUUUGUAUGCUUUAGACCUACUGCCUGCAAAACUGACAGUUCCGGACGAAGUAAAGGAUUCAAUCAACCAAUUGCUGAAGAUGGUUGUAAAGCUAAGCCAAUCCACAUGACAAGUCUUCUAAAAUACUCCUACAGCUAUCAUAAAUUCCUGUUACUCGGAAGUAAGACGGAUACAGUUAAUGCUGGUGGCCUAUGUUGGUCGGACUCUUCAUUUUUCAUGAGUUACUCGUGUUCAACAUUUGUAUACGGAAAUAUGACCUUCAAGGAUCGUCCAAAUAUACAGAAAAACGUAGAAGAACUAGUCGUAUCCGUGUCCAAUACUUACACCCGAGUCCUUAUAACAUAACUGGUGGCAUUCUUGUGAUUCAUUUGUGUAUAUGGAAUUCAAAUGGUGAAGCAGUUGGAAACUUGGUUUAUCUAGAAGUUGACUGGUUUGUGUUUUUGACUUUUGAUGGAAUUGUUCAACUGUCUCUUGUUUACAAAUAUUGGCUAAAGUCAACAUGGUGGAUUGUUC